This is a non-coding RNA of Paramisgurnus dabryanus, 2042 nucleotides long. The record is from RefSeq and is a predicted model, not a curated record. Lineage: Eukaryota; Metazoa; Chordata; Actinopteri; Cypriniformes; Cobitidae.
CCUGUAUACACUGUAAAUAAUUUUCGUUGUUUUCACAGUUUUUUACUGUUUUUCUCGACAGUUUCUUACUGUAUAAGUUGUUUACAGUUUGUUACUGUAGAUUUGUUGUUUCCACAGUAUUUUAAUGUAUUUUCAACAGUUUUUUACUGCAUAAGCUUUGUACAGUAGGCUACUGUAGUUUUCCAAUGCAUUAUGGGAAAUAUUACUCUGAAUACAGUAUUACCAACCAACUGCAAAACACAAUUACAAACGUCUAUUUAUAUCUUAAAUGCUUAAUUUUUUGUGAGAUAUUUGGUUUAAUGUCUGUUUUCACAUCAGAUGCUCGGUGUGUUCCUUUAACAUAUCACGUGCCUUUUCUGAGGCUUUAAUGAAAUCACCAGCCAAUUCAAUAGACAUACCAUGAGUUCUUAAUAUUGUUGCCUCUGGAUCACAAAAUGUAUUUUUAAGAUUAGUUUAGGCGAUAAUAUAUAUAUGUAUAAUCUUCAAAUAGCAGUCGAUUAGUUAAAAAAGCGCUAAUUUUAGAAUUUGAUUAAACAAAUGCGGAGGGUUCAGGCGCGAGUCGGUCACGUGAUGUGCUCCUCAGUUCUGUCAGUAGGGGGAGUGGGAGAACGCGUGUGUGUCGUCGUAUCUGUUCUGCUCAUCUAGCGCGUAUUUCUUUAUUAAUAUCUGCUGGGUGAAUAUUAAUACGUAUAUGCUAACAUUAAUUUUGUGACCACAAAAUGACAGAGAGCUAUUAUACUGUACGAGAUAUUGUGUCGUCGUGUUUGUCUUCACUCACUUCAUCAUUAUCUGGUAAGUGCUAUAUGCAAUAUCUGGUAUGAGACUUUAUUGGCACUAAAGGGUUCUUUCGGCUAAAUUUUACUUAAUUUCUGUCAUAACAGCAAACAACUUCUGCAACUUCACAAUGAUUGUCUGCGUGUGUGCAAAAGAAAGCAUGUUCACUGUGUAAAACCCCGCGCAGGGCAUUUUCAAAUUAACGGUCAGGGCGAGUCUGAGCUUAUCGUGUUCUGUUGACAGAGACUUUGCUGAGUGUAUGUAAAUCUGGGCUACAGUCCACGACAAAUUUUCUACGGUAGUUUUACGCCUGCAUGCUGGUCCUUUCGUCUAUCGCGGGGAUAUCAUCACUUCAGCAGACAUCGCAUUGAAGAGAUCCUGUGCUUGCGUGGCGGUGUGUUUGUGUGCUCACUUGGAUUGAGACCAGCAGUGCUUUUUUAAACAGUGGAUUCUUUAUGACAUCAAGAUGUGGUUUGGGAAGGACCUUCAUCUAAAUCUGAAGACAGGACAUACUGGCUCAAAAAGGUGUUUCUGAUAUGGAGAAAAACCCUGCACUGCUCAUUUUAUUUCUUCAUCUUGAGAAUACAGCAAGUUUACCUUUUGUCUGGAAAAUGAUUCAGCAAAGCUAACACCAACAACAAUUUUUCAUGGCACUUUAAACCACCUUGAUGUGAGGAGCCAGCAUCAGAAUGGAUGGUGUCAAUAUCCUGAAUGAAGAAGUGGAGGUAACAGAGGUGGAUCUCAAGACUUGGCCAUGUUCUAGAUUAUAACUGGAUUAUUCCAAGUGCUGUCGCCCCUGCUGUAUAUGACGCCCCCACCACCUACACCAGGUGUAGGAAAUGUCGGUCCUGGAGUGCCGUUGUCCUGCAGAGUUUUGCUCCAGCUCUAAACAAACACACCUGAACAACUAGAUCUGAAGAGUCACCAGUAAACUACAGGUAGGCGAGGUUUUAUCAGGGUUGGAAAUAAAAUCUGCAGGAUUUCGGCACUCCAGGACUGACGUUGCCUACUCCUGACCUACACCUUCAUCCUGCCACUACCACCCAUACUUCCUACAAAAAACUGUAUUGUAAUAAUGCUUUUCACUGUAUUGUAUGAUGUGGUUUUUUCAUUUAGGGUAACUACACUAUGGCAACCAUUUGAUAAAUUGAUUGCGGACUGAUUUUGUUAUUUUUUUUUACUUUUUGUUUAAAAUCUAAUCAUUUUUUUUGUUUUUGUUUUGUUAAUAUUGUUAUAUACAGUUAAAACUGCACAAUACAUUUUCUGAU